Molecule: long non-coding RNA, 565 nt
Filed under: Pan troglodytes (chimpanzee)
Lineage: Eukaryota; Metazoa; Chordata; Mammalia; Primates; Hominidae
Description: long non-coding RNA NONPTRT000837
Source: RNAcentral
UAGCGUUAACGUUUCUGAGGCUGAAGGAGAAAUGACUUAUAGGGGAGAGAAACAUGUACUUGGAAAGAAUUGACCCAGCUGAAUUGGAAAAUGUGGGAAAGGGAUGGGGAAGAGGCUGCUCCACCUGAGAUCCGGCUCCAGGACUUACAGCAAGGGGAACUUGGGCAAGUUACAGACUCUCUAUGUCUCAGUUUCUUCAUCAGCAAAACAGAACGAAUCAUCCCAUAAACUGUAAGGUCGAUGGUAUCAGCGGGUCCCCAAACUGACUGCACAUCUGAGUCAUGUUAACAAACACAUUCCAGGCCUCACCUGGGCCCUCUGAAUCAGAAUCCCUGCAAGGAGGACGAUGAACUUGUAUUUGCACUGACUUUCCCAGCUGUUUCUUACUCUGAUCAACUUGGGGGUAGGACCCAUUGAGCUGCAUCACAUCAUUCCAAAGCCAAAACACAACAGCAGGACAAGAAUAUUUUCAAGGCAGUCUCUAAAGCAGAGGAGAAACUGUUGAGGGAACCUAGAAGUAAAGGAGAUCUGGCUUGCUGGGCUCCAUUUGAACUUUGAGUACAAC